GGAUCCGGUGGCCCCGUGGGCUGGGCCGGUCCACCUGAGGAAAUAUCACAGCGGGGUCUGUCUCUUCUGCCUGGAAUGCCUUUACCUCCCUCCUUCACUAGACAAACUCCUACUUAUACAACAAGACCCAAAUCAGAUGGCCCCUCUUCUGUGAGUAGGGCCUGUGAAGCCCUUCGACGGUGUUGUCCAACAUCCAACAUGGUGGCUGAGUGCUGGAAAUGUAACUGGUUCAGAGGAUUUAGACCUGUGUACGUGGCUUUAUUUGUGACUCACAGGACAUCUCAGUGGGAUGUAGACUGCCGUAGGUGCUCAGUGUCAAGGACACAGGCCCAGACGGGGCGUCCAGAGCACCGAGACAGCCAGAUGUGUGCACGUAUGCAUGUGCAUGCACGGGGGGAUAUUGGUUCCGAAAUAGAAAAAGCUCAAAAAAAUCAAAAUGACUGAGUGUUUAAUUAGAUGUUUGCAAAAUGUGAC
Long non-coding RNA from Tupaia belangeri chinensis (Chinese tree shrew), 474 nucleotides. RefSeq lists it as uncharacterized. The record is from RefSeq and is a predicted model, not a curated record. The transcript has 3 exons. NCBI's taxonomy places the organism in Eukaryota, Metazoa, Chordata, Mammalia, Scandentia, Tupaiidae.